GCCCUGGUAGCACAAUGGUUAGGUGCUUGGCUGUUUACCAAAAGGCUGGUGGUUCAAAACCACCCAGCAGCU
RNAcentral lists this transfer RNA (72 nucleotides) under Loxodonta africana (African savanna elephant). It matches the Rfam family "tRNA". From Rfam's summary of the family: Transfer RNA (tRNA) molecules are approximately 80 nucleotides in length. Lineage: Eukaryota; Metazoa; Chordata; Mammalia; Proboscidea; Elephantidae. The record is from Rfam by way of RNAcentral.